GGCUCAUCAUCAUCAUUAAUGUUGGACUGUCCCACUGUCAUGAUGUAGAAGAGCUGCACACGUUCAGACGGCAGGAGAGGAUUUGAUCUUUGAGUUCAAGUGUGAGAAGAAAAAAAGAAAGAAAGAAAGAAAGAAACUCGUCAUCAUGAGACCAACUGCCGCUUCUGCUACUGACUUAAAGCAGAAGAUGAGUGACUGUGUGGAGGAAGAGGAGGGCAGAGCAGCGUCUGCAGUGUCCAGCCGUCUGUCCAUGAAGAGUGACCGGUCUAAAGAUCAUCCUCCAGUCUUCAGUGGUGAACCUGGAGCUCCAGACACAAAGGAAAGGAAGAGGAGUCGAGGU
This is a long non-coding RNA of Myripristis murdjan (pinecone soldierfish), 340 nucleotides long. RefSeq lists it as uncharacterized. The record is from RefSeq and is a predicted model, not a curated record. The transcript has 3 exons. NCBI's taxonomy places the organism in Eukaryota, Metazoa, Chordata, Actinopteri, Holocentriformes, Holocentridae.